GAUCCCGUAGCUCAGCUGGAUAGAGCGUCAGUCUCCUAAACUGCAGGCCGGCGGUUCGAAUCCGCCCGGGAUCACCA
Molecule: transfer RNA, 77 nt
Filed under: Eubacteriales bacterium
Lineage: Bacteria; Bacillati; Bacillota; Clostridia; Eubacteriales
Description: tRNA-Arg
Rfam family: tRNA
About the family: Transfer RNA (tRNA) molecules are approximately 80 nucleotides in length. Their secondary structure includes four short double-helical elements and three loops (D, anti-codon, and T loops). Further hydrogen bonds mediate the characteristic L-shaped molecular structure. tRNAs have two regions of fundamental functional importance: the anti-codon, which is responsible for specific mRNA codon recognition, and the 3' end, to which the tRNAs corresponding amino acid is attached (by aminoacyl-tRNA synthetases). tRNAs cope with the degeneracy of the genetic code in two manners: having more than one tRNA (with a specific anti-codon) for a particular amino acid; and 'wobble' base-pairing, i.e. permitting non-standard base-pairing at the 3rd anti-codon position.
Source: RNAcentral